AAAAAUAAAGUAAAUAAAAAGGAAAUAAAGGAAAGAAACAAAAGAAUAAAAAGAAGGAAGGAAACAGAAUAGCAGGAAACGAAACAGAGAAGAAACAAGGGAGAAAGAAAGAAAGAAAAGAAAAAGGGAAAGUAAGGUUUUAAAGGUUCCAAGUUAAUUUGGUAAGUCAAUUUAGCCCAUUUUCUUAUAAUUUUUGAGUUUUUUUGGAAUCCUAGAGAUAAAUAGUACUUGUUUUAAGUAGAAAUUUUGAAAGUCAUUAGAUUUCUAAGUUUGGUUCAUGUUGAAUAAAAUGAUAGAAUUGGGGGUUUAUUUGAUAGAAAUUUUGAUUGGAAUUGAAUAAAGGAUUGAAUCGUAAACUAAGCUAUAAGUUUUGAGUUUUAGGGAUUAAAUGGAAAUAAAUUCGAAAUUAUGAAAAUAUGCUGGAAAUUUAAUAGUUAAGUAUGAGUUUGGACAAAAUUUGAAUAGAAAUAAAGUAUGAAUUAAGAUAGAAAAGUAAGAGAAUUUAGUUAGGAUUAAAUUGAAAUUAAAGUAAAUCAACAUUUUGCACUAAAACUGUUUUAGACAGCAGCAGUAGUCUAACUUUGAAAAAUCAUAAAAAAAUUAUAGAAAUCGAAUUAGAAGAUGAAUAAAAUAUGAAAUUAAAGCUUAUUGAGUCUAGUUUCUUAUAGAAGAAACGAUAUAAGCAAUUGAAAUGUAAAUUAUGAGAUAUAAUGAAUUUUGUGAGACAAGGUCAGAAUGAAUUCGGGUUCCCCUGUUCUGACUUUGGAAAAUCACCAAAAAUUAAAGAAAAAUAAUUAGAGGCUUAAAGUUAUAUUUUUAGAAUCCCUAAUUAGUCUAUUUUCAGGAGAAAUCAACGGGAAUAUUAUCCGAGUUCUGUACUGUGAGAUAAUUAAUUUUUAGUGAAGAAGGGACGAAACUGUCAGACAGCAGAAUAGGGGUGAAUUUAAAGAAUAAACUGUACUUAAUGGCUAAACCAAAAAAUCUAAAAAUUUUAUUGUAAGAAGAUUUGUGAGUCUAGUUUCAGGAAAAAUUAGCGGAUCUUAAUUUAGAAUUCUGUAACUCAAGAUAUGAAUUAGUAAUGUAUUAAUGAUUAUGAAUUGUAUUAAUUUCGUAGUCAAUGUGGUACCAGAAAUCUCGGCUAAGAAAGGACAAGACAAAGUCAACGGGAGUUAGCUCGAAAAUUACGGUUUGUAUUUCUAUAAUCCGAACUUAGUUAUUAUUUGUUAUAUUUAUAUACAUAUGGCAAUUGUUAGUGUUAGAAUUAUGAUGUUUUACAGUUGGAAUGGGUUGAUUUUGGUAUGCGAUGAAUUUAUUAAAUUUAUAUUGAUUGAAAUUAUUUUGAUUGAAUUUAUAUUGAUUGAAUUAUAUAAUAUAUAUGAUUUAUGUAGAAAUUUGAAUAUUGAAUGAAUAUUUUAUUGAAAAAAAUAUAUUGAUUGGAAAUAUGAGGAAAUUGAUAUGAAUAUAUGAGAUUGUGAUAUUUGAAUAUUUGAUAUUGAAAAGUGAAUUGAAUUGUAUUGAAUUAUGAAUUAAUGUGAAUAAUUGAAAUAUAUUGUUGAAUUGAAUGAAAUUGUAUGAAUUGUAAAAAUGAGUGAAUAUAUGUGAUUAUCAGAAUGGUAUAUUGAUGAAAGAAUUAUUAAAUUGAGAAAGUGAAUGAAAUACCCUAUUAACUAGUCGGGCUGAGUCGGAUAUAAUUGGCAUGCCAUAGGAUCUGGAAGUGUACGGGAUUUGCCGGCUUUAUCGAUCAGGCACUUUAUGUGUCGUAUUUCAGGCACCUCGUGUGUCGUAUCAGGCACCUCGUGUGUCGUUUUAGGCACUUUAUGUGUUAUUGAACAAUUAUGUUAUUGUGUUUAUUAUAUGAACUGUAUAAAAUUUAUAUGGUAAGUAGUUGAAAUUUAUCUAUGAAUAAAUAAUUGAAUAAUUGUAAUUAUUAUUAUGAUCUUAAGUAUUUGUUAUAUUAUUAAUUGUUCGGAUUAUAGAAAUAUCACUGAGUAUAUCAUACUCAGCGUACGGUUUGUUUCCGUGCGCAGGUUAAGUAAAGAUAGUACGUUGAAUCAGCAUCCCAAGACGAUCCCGAAUUCAUUAAGGUAAAGUAUGUUGAGUAUUGAUAAUGGCAUGUACCCAGGAUGUUUAAUGAGAGUCAUUUAGGUUGUAAAAGUAUUGAUGAAAUGAGUAAAUUAUGGUUGGCAAUGGUAUGUAGUAUGAAUUUUGAAAUUUACUAAAAAUUCGUAGUGAUUCUAAAUUAGUCUCGAAUUGAAUUUACUGUUUAUAUUGGACCGUGAGGGCCCAUUAAAGGGACGACAUCUUAAAACUAGGGUGUGUGUGAAUAUUUAUUUUAAUUAAUGACCGAAAUUGGACUGUAUUGACUGGUAAUGUCUCGUAACCUUGUUCCGGUGACGGCAUAGGGUUAGGGGACGUUACAAAUUAGUGGUAUCAGAGCUAUUCAAUUUUAGCCAAUUCUCGGACUAAAUCGAGCUCGAAAUUGAGUCUAGAGGUACAUGCCAUAAUUGAGUCGAAAUUGAGUCGGGAUCGGAUGCUGAUAUAUUUGUUUGGUACUGUUUUAUAGUGAAAAUGUUAGACGAAAAUAUUGAUAGUAUUGAUUAUGAAAUGUAUACUGGAGACGAAUAGUCUCGUGAAUUAGAUGAAAACUGAAUCAACAACACUGGUUAUAAACUCAAUGGGUAAUUAAUUACUGAAUGAUGACUGAUGAAAUAAUAAAAAAAAUGAUACAUAAUUAUUUAGAAUUAUAACUGAUGUUCUUCAGUGAAUAGAAGAAAUUGUAUUUGUUAUGAUAUAUGCCCCUCCUGUUUCUCAAUCGCUUCUCGAAGUGCUUCAAGGUACAGAGUUUGUCUGAAUGGAUAACAUAUCUGUUGUUAAUAUUUUGUACAUAUAGUGUGGAAGAAUUGAAAAUUACAGCUGAAAAUGAUCUUGAAAGAAUUGAAAUUUGGCAAGAGAAUAUUAUCAAGGCUGUAAAUGAAUUGCUUGGUUCGUCGAAUAAAUGAUAGGAAGGUAUGAUAUUUCUACUAAAAGAUUCAAUUUACCAAAGGUGGAAAAUAUUGAUUUAUGCUGUAACUAUGAAAGGGUUAUUUGGAAUUUUCUAAAAUGAGUUCUGAAAGAAAUAUAUGUUAGUCAGAGAUUUCCUGAUUAGAAAUGCAAAGAAAUUUUUGAAGCUUAAACAGGGCCAUAUGAUUGUAACUGAGUAUGAAGGGAGUUUGUUUGAUUGAAUAAGUAUAUCAGAGGGUAUAUUCCAAUAGAAACCAUAAUGUACAAAUGGUUUGAAGAUGGUUUAAAUGAAGACAGAAGCUGAAGAAUAUAGAAUAAGGAAUGGAAUAUGUGUUAGACAUGAUUCUCCUGAUUAUUAUCUUAGUGAUUGCUUGAAGAAAAUUGAAAAAAAACAUUAUUCAGAGUUCAAGACCGAGUAAUGUAGUUAACAGAGGUAGGUUACCCUGUAAUCGCAGAAAUACGAGUGAAAGCCGAAGUGUGACAAAUGACUUCACUGUAAAAUCUGGGGAAUGAACAUCAGCCAGGGUAUAUGUUAAUUGUAUAUGAGAAGAUUUAUCUCUACCGGAUGUCAUUACAGGUACUUUCUUCUUUAUCGACACUAAUAUGAUUAUUUUAAAUUGAUCUUGGUUUGACUAUUCCUAUGAUUACAUAAGUUCAGUAUCUAUUAAAGAUUUGUCUGUUGAGUUUGCUGAAAUUUUUGGAUUGAAGCAUUAAAUUUUUCAGAUUAGUAUUUAUGGGCUGAUAAGAUCUGCAAGAAAUGUUUGAUAAUGAUACUAUUGUUUUCUGAUCGAUUUAAUGUUCUUACUGUUUGAUAUAAUUUCAAUAAUGGAAUGGUUAAUUCUGCAUGAUAUGGUGGUAAAUUAUAAGCAGAAGUAUAAUAUGUUGCAAGAUCAAGAUGAUGAAAUGUUUUGUUGAAUCAGAGAAGAUUGAGCUAAUUGUCUAUUGUGAUAUUGAACAUGCCAACACAGAUAUAUGCCGGAAAGGGGUCAUGGUAUUUACCUUGUUUAUGUAUUGAAUAUUAAAGUAUUUAAGUUAAAGUUUAAAUCAGUGGCAAUAGUGCAAGAGAAUUCUAAUGUGUUUCCAGAAGAGUUGCCCGAACUACUGUUGAUUGAAGAAGUUGAAUGUGCUAUAGAUUUUGUAACUGAAAUGAUAGUGAAAAAUAUAUUUGAAAUCAGAGGUUUUCUAAAACUAGUCAGUUAUUACAGAAAGAUGUGGAAUUGGAAUGAUCUGAUAGACAUUAGCAAGGUUCUGAUUAGUUGAAAGCUCAGUUAACUGAAGCAUUAGUUCUGGCUUAGUCUGAAAUCCGAUGAAGAAACUUGUGAUUUACAGGGAUAGCAAUGUUUUAAUGCAAGAAAGAAAAUUAAUGAAUUAUGUUUUGGAAAGUUAGAAUUAUAUGAGAAGAAUUAUUUGAUACAUGAUUCGGAAGUGGUAGCUAUUGUCUUUGCACUAAAGGAUCAUGAUUUGAUAAUUGAAUAUUAUCCAGAAAAAAAGCAAAUGGAGUUAUGAAUACUCAGAAUUGAAAGUUUUGCUUUGUGUUAUGAGCUAUGAACACUCGAUUGUCAUUAUCUGAUGAUCGCUCAAUUCUAGUUGAAAUAAAGGUUAAACUUACUUCCUUACAGCAGGUCUGCAAGUUCAGAAAUGUGGUAAUGAGUUAUCGGUUAAAUGGAUAUAGUGAUUAAACAUUUCAGAUUGGAUAUGAUGGUUGUUUGCUAUUUAAAAAUAAAAGCUGAACAGAGGGAUUCAGAACUUAUACAGGAGAAUUUGCAUGAAAUUAUAGUAGUACUAUGUCUAUGCAUUCUGGAAGAAUAAGAUGUACAGUGAUUUGAGACAGAUGUAUUGAAGACUGGGAAAAGAAAACCAAUACUUUGAAUUUGCAUAUAAAUGUUUAUAUUAGGUACAAAUAUCUUCAGAACUGUUGCAACCAGUGGUGACAUCAGAAUGGAAAUGGGAUAGAAUUUUUAUGGAAUCUAAGUUGGAAUUAUCUCUAUUUUUGAAAAAGAAUAUGCGGAGCUGCUUGAUUCGUGAAAUUGAAGAAAAGUAGAAGUAAUUCGAGAUAGACUGAAAGCAGUUUUGACAAACAGAAAUUAUAUAUAGACUUGAAACGUUGGGAUAUUGAGUAUUUUGUUAGUGAUAUGGUAUUUCUUAGAGAUUCACAUUGGAAGAACAUUUUGAAGAUCGGGUUGAAAGAGAAAUUAAGUUCUUGUUCUGUUUGGCUAUGUGAAGUUGUAGAAAAUUCGGCCCGGUAAAAUAUUCUUUGGCUUUGCUUUUGAAGUUACAGAAAGUUUAUGAUAAUUUUUCAUGAUUUGAAGCUCAGAAGAUUAUAGAGAUCAAAUCUUUUACAUGUUAUAUCGACAAAGGAUAUUGAGAUUUGACGCAAUCUAUUGUAUGAGAAAGAGGCGGUUGAGAUACUAGCUUGAGCGGUAAUGUCAUAAUACUGAGGAAGCAAUACGGGAACCGAAAGAAACAGUGAGAUCACUGAACCCCCACCUCUCUUUUAGGAAAAUUUCGAGGACGAAAUUUCUUAAGGGGGAGAGAAUUGUAACGACCCGAAUUUUACCGUUACUGAAAAAGUGUAUUUUCGGGUCUCCAUUUCUGAAAAAACGGAUUCGUAAAUAUUUAUUAAAAAUAUUUACGAAGUAAAAUGAGUGGUUAAUUAGAGUUUAAUUAAGUGAAUUUAAUUUAAUUAAGAGUAAUUAAGAAAAAGGACUAAAUUGAAUAAAUGAUGAAAGUUAAAUUGUAGAUUAAAAGAAAAUGAAGAGGACCAAAAUGGCAAUUAUGCCAGUUUUCCUAAGUGAGGCGGCAUAAACAUAAAAAUAUGAGAUUUUUAUGUGUUAAAAUAUAUAUUAAAUUAUUAUUAUUAAAAGUAAAGUAAAUAAAAAGGAAAUAAAGGAAAGAAACAAAAGAAUAAAAAGAAGGAAGGAAACAGAAUAGCAGGAAACGAAACAGAGAAGAAACAGGGGAGAAAGAAAGAAAGAAAAGAAAAAGAGAAAAUAAGGUUUUAAAGGUUCCAAGUUAAUUUGGUAAGUCAAUUUAGCCCAUUUUCUUAUGAUUUUUGAGUUUUUUUGGAAUCCUAGAGAUAAAUAGUACUUGUUUUAAGUAGAAAUUUUGAAAGUCAUUAGAUUUCUAAGUUUGGUUCAUGUUGAAUAAAAUGAUGGAAUUGGGGGUUUAUUUGAUAGAAAUUUUGAUUAGAAUUGAAUAAAGGAUUGAAUCGUAAACUAAGCUAUAAGUUUUGAGUUUUAGGGAUUAAAUGGAAAUAAAUUCGAAAUUAUGAAAAUAUGCUGGAAAUUUAAUAGUUAAGUAUGAGUUUGGAAAAAAUUUGAAUAGAAAUAAAGUAUGAAUUAAGAUAGAAAAGUAAGAAAAUUUAGUUAGUAUUAAAUUGAAAUUAAAGUAAAUCAACAUUUUGCACUAAAACUGUUUUAGACAGCAGCAGUAGUCUAACUUUGAAAAAUCAUAAAAAAAUUAUAGAAAUCGAAUUAGAAGAUGAAUAAAAUAUGAAAUUAAAGCUUAUUGAGUCUAGUUUCUUAUAAAAGAAAGGAUAUAAGCAAUUGAAUUGUAAAUUAUGAGAUAUAAUGAAUUUUGUGAGACAAGGUCAGAAUGAAUUCGGGUUCCCCUAUUCUGACUUUGGAAAAUCACCAAAAAUUAAAGAAAAAUAAUUAGAGGCUUAAAGUUAUAUGUUUAGAAUCCGUAAUUAGUCUAUUUUCAAGAGAAAUUAACGGGAAUAUUAUCCGAGUUCUGUACUGUGAGAUAAUUAAUUUUUAGUGAAGAAGGGACGAAACUGUCAGACAGUAGAAUAGGGGUGAAUUUAAAGAAUAAACUGUACUUAAUGGCUAAACCAAAAAUUCUGAAAAUUUUAUUGUAAGAAGAUUUGUGAGUCUAGUUUUGGGAAAAAUUAGCUGAUCUUAAUUUAGAAUUCUGUAACUCAAGAUAUGAAUUAGUAAUGUAUUAAUGAUUAUGAAUUGUAUUAAUUUCGUAGUCAAUGUGGUACCAGAAAUCUCGGCUAAGAAAGGACAAGACAAAGUCAACGGGAGUUAGCUCGAAAAUUACGGUUUGUAUUUCUAUAAUCCGAACUUAGUUAUUAUUUUUUAUAUUUAUAUACAUAUGGCAAUUUUUAGUGUUAGAAUUAUGAUUUUUUACAGUUGGAAUGGGUUGAUUUUGGUAUGCGAUGAAUUUAUUAAAUUUAUAUUGAUUGAAAUUAUUUUGAUUGAAUUUAUAUUGAUUGAAUUAUAUAAUAUAUAUGAUUUAUGUAGAAAUUUGAAUAUUGAAUGAAUAUUUUAUUGAAAAAAAUAUAUUGAUUGGAAAUAUGAGGAAAUUGAUAUGAAUAUAUGAGAUUGUGAUAUUUGAAUAUUUGAUAUUGAAAAGUGAAUUGAAUUGUAUUGAAUUAUGAAUUAAUGUAAAUAAUUGAAAUAUAUUGUUGAAUUGAAUGAAAUUGUAUGAAUUGUGAAAAUAAGUGAAUAUAUGUGAUUAUCAGAAUGGUAUAUUGAUGAAAGAAUUAUUAAAUUGAGAAAGUGAAUGAAAUACCCUAUUAACUAGUCGGGCUGAGUCGGAUAUAAUUGACAUGCCAUAGGAUCUGGAAGUGUACGGGAUUUGCCGGCUUUAUCGAUCAGGCACUUUAUGUGUCGUAUUUCAGGCACCUCGUGUGUCGUAUUAGGCACCUCGUGUGUCGUUUUAGGCACUUUAUGUGUCGUAUAUUGAUCAGGUACUAUGUACCGUUUUAGGCACAAUGUGCCGUACUAGUGUGUUUGGGUUGGAAUCCGUGUAUCCGUCAAAGUCUGGGUUUGUUAAUAGGGGUAAAUAAGUGAAAGAUAAAUCGAAUAAAUUUGAUUGAUCAAGCUAUUGAAAUGAAACGAGAAAUUGAAUUGGGAAUUGAAAAUUUAGAUAUGAAAUUGAAAAUAUGAACCAAAGGUUCAUGAAAUGAUUGGAGUUCGAAUUGAUGAUAUAUGAUGCCACUUGAUGAAUUGAAAUGUGAUUUGAGAUAUAUGAAUCGUAUGUAUAUACUGAAAGCUAUCAGGGAUAAUAAGUUGAUACGAUAUAAAUGAAAUUGACUGUUAUUGAAAUGAAUUAAAAUGGAAUAUGAUUGAUAAGUAUAUAGUUGAAUAUAGUUUAAUGAUAUUGAAUUGUGAGUAAAUUAAGGAAAGCUAUACCGAAUAGUAAGUGAAAGAACGGAGUAAAUAGUAAUGGAUUUAUUUAAGAAUUGAACAAUUAUGUUAUUGUGUUUAUUAUAUGAACUGUAUAAAAUUUAUAUGGUAAGUAGUUGAAAUUUAUCUAUGAAUAAAUAAUUGAAUAAUUGUAAUUAUUAUUAUGAUUUUAAGUAUUUGUUAUAUUAUUAAUUGUUCGGAUUAUAGAAAUACCACUGAGUAUACCAUACUCAGCGUACGGUUUGUUUCCGUGCGCAGGUUAAGUAAAGAUAGUACGUUGAAUCAGCAUUCCAAGACGAUCCCGAAUUCAUUAAGGUAAAGUAUGUUGAGUAUUGAUAAUGGCAUGUACCCAGGAUGUUUAAUGAGAGUAAUUUAGGUUGUAAAAGUAUUGAUGAAAUGAGUAAAUUAUGGUUGGCAAUGGUAUGUAGUAUGAAUUUUGAAAUUUACUAAAAAUUCGUAGUGAUUCUAAAUUAGUCUCGAA
This 8616-nucleotide long non-coding RNA is filed under the name Gossypium barbadense (sea-island cotton). RNAcentral's name for it is "long non-coding RNA (GBAR_LNC010774)". The record is from RNAcentral. Lineage: Eukaryota; Viridiplantae; Streptophyta; Magnoliopsida; Malvales; Malvaceae.